RNAcentral lists this unclassified non-coding RNA (253 nucleotides) under uncultured Planctomycetota bacterium. RNAcentral describes it as "uncultured planctomycete contains 16S-23S intergenic spacer region". It matches the Rfam family "Bacterial small subunit ribosomal RNA", at positions 524 to 776 of the family's 1533-position model. The record is from RNAcentral. Lineage: Bacteria; Pseudomonadati; Planctomycetota.
GACGGAGGGUGCAAACGUUGUUCGGAAUCACUGGGCAUAAAGCGCACGUAGGCGGUCCGCUAAGUCAGAUGUGAAAGCCCCCGGCUCAACCGAGGAAUUGCAUUUGAUACUGGCGGGCUCGAGGACGGUAGGGGUGAGUGGAACUCCAGGUGGAGCGGUGAAAUGCGUAGAUAUCUGGAGGAACACCGGUGGCGAAAGCGGCUCACUGGACCGUGUCUGACGCUGAGGUGCGAAAGCCAGGGUAGCGAACGGG